AACACGGAGCUUGCUCUGUGGGAUCAGUGGCGAACGGGUGAGUAACACGUGAGCAACCUGCCCCUGACUCUGGGAUAAGCGCUGGAAACGGCGUCUAAUACUGGAUAUGUGACGUGACCGCAUGGUCUGCGUUUGGAAAGAUUUUUCGGUUGGGGAUGGGCUCGCGGCCUAUCAGCUUGUUGGUGAGGUAAUGGCUCACCAAGGCGUCGACGGGUAGCCGGCCUGAGAGGGUGACCGGCCACACUGGGACUGAGACACGGCCCAGACUCCUACGGGAGGCAGCAGUGGGGAAUUUUGGACAAUGGGGGCAACCCUGAUCCAGCCAUACCGCGUGAGUGAAGAAGGCCUUCGGGUUGUAAAGCUCUUUCAGCCGGAAAGAAAUCGUGCAGGUUAAUAACCUGUAUGGAUGACGGUACCGGAAGAAGAAGCACCGGCUAACUACGUGCCAGCAGCCGCGGAAU
RNAcentral lists this ribosomal RNA (461 nucleotides) under uncultured bacterium. RNAcentral describes it as "bacterial SSU rRNA". It matches the Rfam family "Bacterial small subunit ribosomal RNA", at positions 70 to 523 of the family's 1533-position model. The record is from RNAcentral.